UACGAAGGGAGCUAGCGUUGUUCGGAAUCACUGGGCGUAAAGCGCACGUAGGCGGAUUUGUCAGUCAGGGGUGAAAUCCCGGGGCUCAACCUCGGAACUGCCUUUGAUACAGCAAGUCUUGAGUUCGAGAGAGGUGGGUGGAAUUCCUAGUGUAGAGGUGAAAUUCGUAGAUAUUGGGAAGAACACCGGUGGCGAAGGCGGCACUCUGGGCCAGUACUGACGCUGAGGAGCGAAAGCGUGGGGAGCGAACAGG
RNAcentral lists this ribosomal RNA (253 nucleotides) under uncultured bacterium. RNAcentral's name for it is "partial 16S ribosomal RNA". It matches the Rfam family "Bacterial small subunit ribosomal RNA", at positions 524 to 776 of the family's 1533-position model. The record is from RNAcentral.